GAAUUUUGGACAAUGGGGGCAACCCUGAUCCAGCCAUCCCGCGUGUGCGAUGAAGGCCUUCGGGUUGUAAAGCACUUUUGGCAGGGAAGAAAAGGCUCUGGCUAAUACCCGGAGCUGCUGACGGUACCUGCAGAAUAAGCACCGGCGCACGACGUGCCAGCAGCCACGGUAAUACGUAGGGUGCAAGCGUUAAUCGGAAUUACUGGGGGUAAAGGGUGCGCAGGGGGUGCGGCAAGAAGGGUGUGAAAUCCCAGGGCUUAACCUUGGAACUGCAUUCUUAACUGCCGGGCUAGAGUAUGUCAGAGGGGGGUAGAAUUCCGCGUGUAGCAGUGAAAUGCGUAGAGAUGCGGAGGAAUACCGAUGGCGAAGGCAGCCCCCUGGGAUAAUACUGACGCUCAUGCACGAAAGCGUGGGGAGCAAAC
This 422-nucleotide ribosomal RNA is filed under the name uncultured bacterium. RNAcentral's name for it is "partial 16S ribosomal RNA". It matches the Rfam family "Bacterial small subunit ribosomal RNA", at positions 359 to 773 of the family's 1533-position model. The record is from RNAcentral.